AUCCGAAUAAACAGAAGGUCAAACCUUCUUCUAUUUGCCGUAACAACCUUCAUGCCGGCCUGUACAGGCGGCCUGUACACAGCCCAUAUGACACUUGAACCCACGACCGACAUGAUGUUAAGUCGUGCUAGCUGACGACUACACCAUGGUACCACCCCUAUGUCAACUUUAUAGGUACAGGUUGGACUCCGUUUCUGAUUAAGGCCCAUCACUAAUAUGUUUCGGACUACUUCAUAUCCUCCUUCCGAUAUCAUACGAUUUUGCAUAUCAUAGCAAUAUUGGUGUUGGGGAGCAGCAACUUCAGCAGAAUCGGUGUAGCCAUUCCGUUUCGUUAUGGGUGGCCGCUAACAGUUGAAAGCAAGCGCCCAAUCGUGUCAGUACUAUCCGGCCAUCGCUCUGACGCACAAGAUGGGAUGGCCGGUAUUUUUGAACUUUAGAAAGAAUAUCCGAACACACGCAGCGUUCGUCUGUGUGAUAUUGAUUCUAUAUGCGAUAUUCUCUAUCCUUACUGGAGUGGCUUGGUGGUUGGAGCUAAAAAUGCAGACCGGAUCGGACAAAAUAGAUUAUGAAGUGAAAGCUGAAGCAUUCAGUCCUAAGAGCAAGAGGUCAAUUGAUGCGGGGUGGUCAUUCAAUGCAGUGGGCGAUGGUGGAUCCGGCACAACCAGGUUGCGGAGGUCAAUUCGAAAAUUGUUUUCUUCGAAGAGUAAAAAGAAAAGGGUUAAUACAAUGUUCUCGGCAUUCAACCACGAGAUCAACCAGCAUAACAACCAGGAGAUCAAUCAGGACAACACUCAAUACAUCAACCAGAGGAUCAGCCAAGAUACCAUUCAGAAGGUCAUCCAGGAGAUCAACCAGGAGAUCAACCUGGAGAUCAUGUUCAUCAAAGUAGGCUUCCUCAUCAUGAGUAUUGUGAGUUCGUUCAUUACAAUUAUGUACUGGAUCGCGUAUCUCAAGCGUCAACAGUUGUUUCUCGUAAUAUUUAUCGGACUUAUGACCUUUGCUUUUGUGGCUCUAUCCAUCGGGAUGUUCGUCAUGAUACAGCAGCUGAAAUUCAUCUGGGCGUGCGCAAUGCUAUUCGGAUUCGUCGUGAACGGAUAUGUGCUGACGGUGGCGCUGCAACUGCAUUCCAAUUUUAAAUUUACCCGGCGACGACAAGGAUACGGCACCGAGGUGUGUGUGCUUCCCUUGAAGUAAUGGUAACAGAUUUGCAACGCUAUUCUUGAAUGCAUGGAAAAUAGUGGUAUAGUUUGGGAAGGUGAAUUAUUUGCAAAAAAUGCAAACGAUCGACAGACCGUGGUGCAAACUGUGUCUUGGUGAUUGUGAUCAGUCCUCUAUUGAUCAUCGUACGAAAACGCAUCGUUUUAGCAAUAUAAAACCAACCUACCAAGUGAGAUCGGGUUAGCUUGUUCGGUAGAUGUAUUUGAUAUUCUAAACGCGAUGCUUCCAUUGUGAGAGCACGUUACAAUUCUUUCAUUUCGAAAGGAAACAGAAAACCACACAAGAUUGUUUGCAUAUAAUAUACACGAUUGUGCGAACAAAAUUUAAUCGAUAAACUUAACACGAAUUAACAUUACACGAAGCGUCACCCGAAGAGAACAUCUCUACGGUGUAUGGAUGGAGCUAUGCACAUGCAAGGGAAAUGCAUGUCAAAAACACGUUCCAAGUAGACAGAAAAGUGGUUGUGUGUAUUGGUGUGAUCGACAAAGUACACGGCACCGGAUUGUAAAGUGGAGAAUUUAUGGACCCGAAAAACGGUGCUGGAGACGGUUCGAACCUGGGUUCUGCAUUCAGAAUCUCUUGAGAAACAUUAGAUUGUUAAAUGUAAUUACUUAAAUGCGAAUUUGUUGAGGGUUUAUGCGUAAGCGUAAACAUUGUUUCAUUUAGUCCGAGGUGAUUCAUCAUCCCAGCGACUAGCUGGUUGUCGCCAAGAUUGGGAUAACACAGCGGCAUUGGUUAGGAAAUAACCCCACUAAAUCAGCAAUCGGCAGCUGCAUCUGCAGCUGCGAUGCAGCAGUUGCGCAGCACCCGAUUUACGAAUGGCCACCAACAGUUCACAGCUAGCACCCGAUCGUGGCGGUAGUAUCCAGUCACCACUCUUCGCAUUAUAAUCUUAGCAGUCACAAAAGAUGGGAUUGCCGACGUUUUUAAACUUUAACAAAAACAUCCAGAAACACGCCAUGACCGUGGGUGUAAUAUUGACGCUUUACACGAUCUUCACUCUGCUUAUCGGAGUGGCGUGGUUAAUUGAGAUCAAAGAGAAGGCCAGCCUGUACAAGUUAGAUUUUCGGGUGGACUUAACCGGAAUCCGAACAAUCAAUCCGAGGACGGCCAGCUUUUGGGAGAAGGAAGGCUUCCUCGUCAUGGGCAUUGGGUUUGCGAUUCUUGCAGUACUGUACUGGAUCACCUACCUCAUGCGUCAACGGUUGCUCCUCGCAGUGUUUAUCGGACUUAUGGUCAUAAUUGUAACGCUUAACAUCAUCGGGAUGGUUGCCGCGGGGCUGAAGCUGAAAUUCGUGUUAGCGUGCGUAGUGAUGUUCGGCCUCCCCGUCAACGUGUACAUGCUGGUGGUGGCGCUGCAACUGCAUAAAUCAAAAUUCAUUUUUACCCCGCGACAACAAGGCUAAAGGCGUGAGGCGAUCAUUGUAGUACAGCAUGUCCAACCAUAAGCCAGCGUUGUCAAACUUGUGUUUUCCACAAUGAUCUUUGUGGCUUAUCAACGCACUCAUUAGCUGUUUUUCGUUUAACAUAAUCUUGUUUCUUGUUCAUGUAUUAAACGGUCAAAGUUCCGAAACUGACAUAGACCGAACUAAUAGGAGAUUGUCAUUUAUCCAUUGCCAUUGAUUAGAAUAAAAAUAAAAAUGAAUGAUUGUUGGAUGUGAGAAGACAAUUUGCAAAUAA
Anopheles coluzzii is the source of this 2898-nucleotide RNA transcript. RefSeq lists it as uncharacterized. Lineage: Eukaryota; Metazoa; Arthropoda; Insecta; Diptera; Culicidae. The record is from RefSeq and is a predicted model, not a curated record. The transcript has 5 exons.